UACAAUUGAAUGACAUGCCCUCUCAGUGCAACACCCGCCUAAUAACACGCCCAAGCUCAGAGAUCAUCUCCAGCCUUAACAUAAGCAUGUGCCCGAGCAAGAUCUGCAUCGUCGGCAGGAUACAAACUCCGUGCAAAGAGCUUCCGUCACACCACCUCAGGCAAUACAAUUGAAUGACAUGCCCUCAUAAUGCAACAUCAUCAGCCCUAUAAGACGCCCGAGCAUGUAGCUCAUCUCCAGCCUCAACAUAAGCACAAGCCCAAGCUAGACAUGUAUCAUCGACCGGAUCCAAACUCCUUGCAACAGGGAGUGCGCAUAAGCUUCUGCGACACGAGGUCAGGCAAUACAAUUGAAUGACAUGCCCUCUCAGUGCAACAUCUGCCUAAUAACACGCCCAAGCUUAGAGCUUCUCUCCAGCCUUAACAUAAGCAUGCGCGGGUGCAAGAUUUGCAUCGUCGGAAGGAUCAAAACUACGUGCAUAGGACGCCCGAGCACUGCAGCUCGUCUCUAGCCUCAACACAAGCACGAGCCCAUGCAAG
This 539-nucleotide long non-coding RNA is filed under the name Ricinus communis (castor bean). RNAcentral's name for it is "long non-coding RNA (RCOM_LNC003444)". Lineage: Eukaryota; Viridiplantae; Streptophyta; Magnoliopsida; Malpighiales; Euphorbiaceae. The record is from RNAcentral.